RNAcentral lists this ribosomal RNA (433 nucleotides) under uncultured bacterium. Its description in RNAcentral is "partial 16S ribosomal RNA". It matches the Rfam family "Bacterial small subunit ribosomal RNA", at positions 29 to 507 of the family's 1533-position model. The record is from RNAcentral.
AACGAACGCUGGCGGCAUGCCUAACACAUGCAAGUCGAACGAGACCUUCGGGUCUAGUGGCGCACGGGUGCGUAACGCGUGGGAACCUGCCCUUAGGUUCGGAAUAACUCCCCGAAAGGGGUGCUAAUACCGGAUAAUGUCUUCGGACCAAAGAUUUAUCGCCUUUGGAUGGGCCCGCGUUGGAUUAGCUAGUUGGUAGGGUAAAAGCCUACCAAGGCGACGAUCCAUAGCUGGUCUGAGAGGAUGAUCAGCCACACUGGGACUGAGACACGGCCCAGACUCCUACGGGAGGCAGCAGUGGGGAAUAGUGGAAAAUGGGCGAAAGCCUGAUCCAGCAAGGCCGCGUGAGUGAUGAAGGCCUUAGGGUUGUAAAGCUCUUUUACCCGGGAUGAUAAUGACAGUACCGGGAGAAUAAGCUCCGGCUAACUCCGUG